GCAUAAUUCAAAUUAAAAAACUAAUUAAUUAACUAUUACAGAGGAUAAAUAAUUAGAAAAUACAACAGCAAGAAAUGUAUUACUUAAACGUGAAAUUAUUAUUUUUAUUCAGUUAUUAAUUCAAUGGAAGUAAAAUAAAUACUGUCAUACUUCAAAUUAUUUUUCGAAAUGAAUUCAUUUAUUAAGAUAAUUAUAAUAUGAAAACUACUAUUAAUCAAACUAAAAUCAUGAUAAUUUUGCCGAUAAAAUAUAUAGUGUGGCCAAAAACGGUGCUUUUAUAUUUUUGCUGUACCGUUUUUGGACACGGGCUUUUUUACAAAUAUUUGAGGUUAUUAUUUUAAAAGCAUUGUUUUUAUAUAAAUAUUUAUCCCCUAGAAAUAUUGUAUAAAAAGAAAAAUAUGAAAAUAUUGAUAUUAAUGUCGAAAAACAAUCAUUUACUUCCCAGUGAUAUUUCAACUCAUCUACUAAAAAUUGUACUUAUUCGCCACUGUCAAAAUAUUUGUACAGUUAUGUGUGUUUUUUUAAAUUAAAUCAGCUGAAUUUCUGUCAAAAACAAGUGAACACAGUGUUGCCUACUUAUUUUAGAAUUUUAUGAAAGUAUUUAUAAUUCACUAGUUGAGUCUGGCUUAGACCGUUCUCGUGUUAACAUAUCUGUACUUAAGUGUAACUAUAAGUGAGGACAUCACCUCACUAAGAGUCUUAUAAUUGAUAGUGAAUCUAAACUGUAAAGUUAAUACAAAGAGUGUAUAAAAAGUUGUCUGUUUCUGUUGAAAUUAUUUGAUUAAUUGACGCCACAUUCUGACACGCUUUCUUUUGGUCGUUGGACACACCGAGCUGGAUCUGUUCACUCGUAUAUCACCAUCAACGCAAUCUAACAUCAUCUAGUUGCCUCCAUAUCUGGUCAGGUCUUGCCCGACAGCACAAAAUUGAUGCGACAAUUUGGAAGGAAGACAAUUGAUCAAAAUUAUAAAAUCGGCAACAAAUUUACAGGCAACUGAAUUUGAUACAAUCUAACUGAGUUCAGCUAACUACAAUUCAAAAACGGAUUUUAACAAUAACCUAUAAGGUCAGACAAAGAAAUAAACAAGAAGUUCUGUCAGUCGGCUAAGCCAGAAGACAUCAAAGAAGAAGAAGAAGAAGAAAUAAUUCACUAGUAACUAUAAAAACUUCAAUAAUGCCAAAAUAAAUCUGAAAGUGGCCACAACCGGUGCAGUGGCCACAAACGGUACAUCUACCCUAUCUCAAUAAAAAUCAAGAAUUUAAAUUAUUCAGUUAAAUCAAAACAAAUAAAAAGAAUUCAGAUAAAAAUGUAAACUGAUGCGGUCAACGAAUUGUUAUAGUGAAACAGGUCUUCUCAAGAUUUCCAAAUGGUUUUAGACUUUUCUCUCAAAUUAUUCACAAAAUAAAGAAAAAUAUAAUUAAUGAGGGCUUUCCUUCAAUG
Leptopilina heterotoma is the source of this 1441-nucleotide long non-coding RNA. RefSeq lists it as uncharacterized. The transcript is spliced from 3 exons. The record is from RefSeq and is a predicted model, not a curated record. Lineage: Eukaryota; Metazoa; Arthropoda; Insecta; Hymenoptera; Figitidae.